UAUAUGUAGCUUGAAUGCAGU
This 21-nucleotide non-coding RNA is filed under the name Caenorhabditis elegans. Lineage: Eukaryota; Metazoa; Nematoda; Chromadorea; Rhabditida; Rhabditidae. The record is from RNAcentral.